GCAGUAUCCAGUGUUGUGAUUGAGGACAGGUGAGCAGAAACCAGCUUCUCAAAUGUUGUCCCAGAUUCCAGCAGUUCUGCAUAUCUCCCUUGCUGUUUAACUUGACCACCUUCCAUCACCUGUUGAAACAAUGAUGAAGCAUUUGAUAGGAGGACCAUUUGUUUUUUAAUUCUUGAGCAAUCAUGUCCAUAAGAUCAACUUACCAAGAUUCUAUCAGUUUCAGUCAGAAAUUCAACUUGGUGCGUCACGAGAACAACAGUCUUCUCUGAAAGUGUUGUCAUUACACAAUCCUGCAAGAACAAUGACAUCAGAAGUUUGUGCGGCAGAAGCUAGCAUGUGUUUAUUUAUACAGAUCAAGUGCACUCUCUUACAUAGAAAAGAACGGCAGCGGUGUGCGCAUCAAUGGCACUGAAAGGGUCAUCUAGGAGGUAGAUAUCUGCAUCACUGUAGACAGCUCUAGCAAGCUGAAUCUUUUGCUUCUGUCCCCCACUCAUGUUGAGCCCUCUCUGACCGAUCUCUGUUAGGUCUCCAUUGUCGAAAUUUGCUAUAUCGUCGUCCAAAGCACAAGAUUUGACUGCCUUUUCAUAGAGUGCCUUGUUGAAAGUCUUUCCAAAGAGUAUAUUAUCGCGAACAGUCCCACUCUGUAUCCAAGAGUUCUGUGAAACAUAUGCCACUGAGCCAAAUACCUCAACCUGCAAAAUACAGUUUGAAAAUGUUUUCAAAUAUAAUAACAUGAUUUAAUCUUCCAUAUGCAUAGAGAGCAUGUCUUUUUCUGUCACUUACUGAUCCUGAUCUUGUAGGUAUCUCCCUAAGUAAUGCAUAAAGGAGUGAAGAUUUCCCAGAGCCAACAGAACCACAAACAGCUAUCUUUUCUCCUUGAUGUACUUUAAGGUUAACAUUCCUUAGUGCCAGAUCGGCUCCACUUGCAUUCCAGCUGAAAUUUCCAUCUUGUACAUGAAUUCUGAUAUCAGAGUUAUCAUGAUGAGGCACCCUCUCCACACCAUCUUCUAUCUCGUCUUCUACGAAAAAAUUCUCGAUACGGUCUAACGACACCUUGUAUUGGAUCAUCAUUGUCAGGAUCUCAGGUAGCAACCUCAAUGGCCCAGCCAUUACCCUCAGGGUGGCCAAGACGGUGAAGAGAGUACUGGCAUUCAGGGGUGCGCUCCCCAAGAUGGCCGUUGCG
RNAcentral lists this long non-coding RNA (1183 nucleotides) under Brachypodium distachyon (stiff brome). RNAcentral's name for it is "long non-coding RNA (BDIS_LNC000631)". The record is from RNAcentral. Lineage: Eukaryota; Viridiplantae; Streptophyta; Magnoliopsida; Poales; Poaceae.